AUUGAAUAUCCCUGAUGUUUCUCUGGAAGGAAAUCCUCACCCUGAGCUCAUCAACUUUAUUAUCUAGAGACUGAACAUUAGCGAGUAAUACACUCAAAAGCGGUUGAUAGUGUGCGAGUCGUACUAGAAGUCCACUCUGAAUACCUCUUCUCCAUCGGUGGUGUUUUGGAUCAGCCUUUGGAACCAGUUCAAUUGCCCUGGGGGUGCAACUAAAGGAUCCAAUUUGGGAAAGUCGUAUUCCUGGUCGUAAUACUGGUAAUGCUGAUGAGUUACCGGCACUCUGAUACCCAAAAGUUAUUCCCGGCUGUAUGUAAUAACACAAAAACAAUUCUGGGCUGAUAAUGUAAUAACACAUAAAAAAUACUGCAAAAUUGUCUAGGAGCUAAAAGCACGGCUGCCCGAUCUGUUCUACACUGCUCCAGUCAGGAGCAGAGUAAAAACACUUCCUGGAACAAACAAGACCACCCAGUCAGUAGCAGAGUAAAAACACUUCCUGGAAACAACAAGACCACCCAGUCAGGAGCAGAGUAAAAACACUUCCUGGAACAAACAAGACCACCCAGUCAGUAGCAGAGUAAAAACACUUCCUGGAACAAACAAGACCACCCAGUCAGGAGCAGAGUAAAAACACUUCCUGGAACAAACAAGACCACCCAGUCAGGAGCAGAGUAAAAACACUUCCUGGAACAAACAAGACCACCCAGUCAGGAGCAGAGUAAAAAUAUAUAUAAUCAAACAUUUUAUUCAUCACAUGCUUCAUAAACAGGUGAACUGUGAAAUGCUUACGGCCCUUCCCAAAAAUAAUAGAAAAAUGACGAGGAAUAGUAAAAUGACAUAGCUGAUCUUUCUGCCAUCAGUCCACUUUUCAGAAUAAAAGCCUUACUCCUGCUGCAUCAGGUGUCCUACUUUCAAUAGUCUACCACUUUUAUCCAAGAUGAAUCUUCAAGGAGAUGAUGUAAUGUUUUAUUAACUGAUAUCGGCCUCAUAAUAAUGCGUAUGCUGAUAUUUGACAACUGCAGCUAUGAAUCGUAUAAAGUGAACCAGAUUAAUUUAAUAAACUUUGUUUUAAAAAAAAGAAGGCAUUCUUGAGAGGUUUUAUUUGUGAAAGAAUCAAUCCAUUUCAAGAGUGGGUGAAACGCCUGUGGUGAGACAGUAACAUUACCUUCAUAGAAAGCAUACAGGUUCCUCUGGUGAGUCAGUUAAAGAAAGCAUACAGGUUCCUCUGGUGAGUCAGUUAAAGAAAGCAUACAGGUUCCUCUGGUGAGUUAUGGACCUAAGUCAAUAAUUGAAAUGCAACAAGUCUGUUUUCUGUGCCUCCUAGUAUAUCUCUCAUGAACAGAUCCAUACGAAAUAAAACAAUACACACAACUUACACUACACACGGAGAAAAAGAGUGCAGGUGUUAUGUUAGAUAGAAAUGUAAACAGACCAUCACUCUACCAUUGUGGCAAGAUGGAGUAGGUCUACACCUCCAUCUAGUGGUCAUGUCAGGGACAACAUCUUUUGACAAGCUUUGUAACUAACUUAUGUUAAGGUUAGGGAAAGAGUUAUUUCCCCUGCCUCAUACAUUCUCCUAACCUGACCCUCAGUAUAAAGAUACAACAGACGUGUUGAAUAGUAUCUGGAGGAAAACAGCUGCGGAUAUGGCUCGGAUGUACUGCCUAAAA
This is a non-coding RNA of Oncorhynchus mykiss (rainbow trout), 1667 nucleotides long. The record is from RefSeq and is a predicted model, not a curated record. NCBI's taxonomy places the organism in Eukaryota, Metazoa, Chordata, Actinopteri, Salmoniformes, Salmonidae.